AACGAACGCUGGCGGCGUGCCUAACACAUGCAAGUCGAGCGCGAAAAGGGCAACCUGAGUAGAGCGGCGCACGGGUGCGUAACACGUGGGUAAUCUGCCUUAGAGUCGAGGAUAACCUUCCGAAAGGUUGGCUAAUACUCGGUAAGCUUACGGUGUCUUCGGACGCUGUGGGAAAAGUAGGCCUCUGUUUACAAGCUUACGCUCUGAGAUGAGCCCGCGGCCCACCAGCUAGUUGGCGGUGUAACGGACCACCAAGGCAACGACGGGUAGCUGGUCUGAGAGGACGAUCAGCCACACUGGAACUGAGACACGGGCCAGACUCCGACGGGAGGCAGCAGUGGGGAAUUUUCCACAAUGGGCGAAAGCCUGAUGGAGCAACGCCGCGUGUGUGAUGAAGGUUUUCGGAUCGUAAAGCACUUUCGACCGGGACGAAAAACCUCUGGCUAACAUCCAGGGGCCUGACGGUACCGGGAGAAGAAGCACCGGCUAACUCUGUGCCAGCCGCCGCGGUAA
Molecule: ribosomal RNA, 513 nt
Filed under: uncultured bacterium
Lineage: Bacteria
Description: partial 16S ribosomal RNA
Rfam family: Bacterial small subunit ribosomal RNA
Source: RNAcentral